RNAcentral lists this transfer RNA (68 nucleotides) under Crotalus polystictus. RNAcentral's name for it is "tRNA-Val". It matches the Rfam family "tRNA". From Rfam's summary of the family: Transfer RNA (tRNA) molecules are approximately 80 nucleotides in length. Their secondary structure includes four short double-helical elements and three loops (D, anti-codon, and T loops). Lineage: Eukaryota; Metazoa; Chordata; Lepidosauria; Squamata; Viperidae. The record is from RNAcentral.
AGAAACAAAAAGUAGCUUAAACAAAGCACUCGACUUACACUCGAAUGAUAUUACAUUAAUCUUUUUGA